RNAcentral lists this ribosomal RNA (746 nucleotides) under uncultured bacterium. Its description in RNAcentral is "bacterial SSU rRNA". It matches the Rfam family "Bacterial small subunit ribosomal RNA", at positions 8 to 798 of the family's 1533-position model. The record is from RNAcentral.
AGAGUUUGAUCCUGGCUCAGAGCGAACGCUGGCGGCAGGCUUAACACAUGCAAGUCGAGCGGGCGUAGCAAUACGUCAGCGGCAGACGGGUGAGUAACGCGUGGGAACGUACCUUUUGGUUCGGAACAACACAGGGAAACUUGUGCUAAUACCGGAUAAGCCCUUACGGGGAAAGAUUUAUCGCCGAAAGAUCGGCCCGCGUCUGAUUAGCUAGUUGGUGAGGUAACGGCUCACCAAGGCGACGAUCAGUAGCUGGUCUGAGAGGAUGAUCAGCCACAUUGGGACUGAGACACGGCCCAAACUCCUACGGGAGGCAGCAGUGGGGAAUAUUGGACAAUGGGCGCAAGCCUGAUCCAGCCAUGCCGCGUGAGUGAUGAAGGCCCUAGGGUUGUAAAGCUCUUUUGUGCGGGAAGAUAAUGACGGUACCGCAAGAAUAAGCCCCGGCUAACUUCGUGCCAGCAGCCGCGGUAAUACGAAGGGGGCUAGCGUUGCUCGGAAUCACUGGGCGUAAAGGGUGCGUAGGCGGGUCUUUAAGUCAGGGGUGAAAUCCUGGAGCUCAACUCCAGAACUGCCUUUGAUACUGAAGAUUUUGAGUUCGGGAGAGGUGAGUGGAACUGCGAGUGUAGAGGUGAAAUUCGUAGAUAUUCGCAAGAACACCAGUGGCGAAGGCGGCUCACUGGCCCGAUACUGACGCUGAGGCACGAAAGCGUGGGGAGCAAACAGGAUUAGAUACCCUGGUAGUCCAA